AAAAAUAAAAAUUUCCACGGGCA
Molecule: transfer RNA, 23 nt
Filed under: Squalus megalops
Lineage: Eukaryota; Metazoa; Chordata; Chondrichthyes; Squaliformes; Squalidae
Also listed under: 1 other name
Description: partial tRNA-Phe
Source: RNAcentral